UGGGUUUCAGUGAGAUGUUUCUUCCUUCCCUUCAAAUCCUUAUGAAAGAAGGUGAUCAUUCCAUCCACGGCCAUACAAUUGAAUUGAUUUAGUCUUAUCUGAUCUGCAUUCUAUAUCCCUGCUACAUGUCCGUCACUACAUAUGGCAUUUUUGAUUUCAACACAAGACUUUUUGACUUAAUAAGAGGUGUAUCCUACCAUGAAGGCACUUUUACAUUUGUCAUCAUGCCUACUCCCACAAGCAAUGUCCGCUCUGUCCAGCAAUGACAAGUUAAUAGACUGAUCUUCAGUGCUGUGCUAAACAGGGACUCACAUCUAUUAUUAAUCCUGGUCAUUUGAUUCCCCCCCUCAAUUGCCAUAGUCAUGUGGUGAUUAUUGCAAUAUGUCUCAGUUUGUCAACAACAUUAUCAUUCAGAAUUGAAUUAGGCUGCUAAGACAGGGUAAUCAUGAUGUGGCAAUUAUUACCUGAUACUGCCAUGACAAGCUAAUGACUACUGUUUCUGUGUUACCUUUCACAAAUCAAUAUCUAUUCAUUGUGACGGCUUGAGUACAAACAGCUCCGUGUUUGCACUGGAAUUUCUAGAAAUUAGUGUAUUUGGCUGCAGGGUAUUUUUGCUCCUGUGUUUACCACUAACAUUUUAUCUCAAGAAAAUAGCUAAUGUAGGAUAAGUUUGAAGGAAGUGUCUGGAAAGUUAUCGUUAAAAUUAUGUUUGAAUCAGGCCCGAACUGGAUCAGGAGAGCCAGGAUAUCACCCUGAUGUCUGAGGUGGUUGUAGGGUGUAGUGAUUUGAAAUGAGCCUCAUACGGUCGCACCAAAAUAUAUGUAGCGAUUUGAAAUGAGCCUCACAAGGCCGCACCAAAAUAUACUUGGCGAUUGGAAUUUAUAAUAAAUGUCUGAAGAUUAAUAAUCUCAAAUUAUGACAUUUAUGCACUCGUUGAAAGGGGCACCACCCACCCUUAAUGGUGGGAAAAUAAAGAAAACAAAAGUUUAAUUCAGAAAUCAAACAUCAAGUCAGUUUUAAUUAAUCAGUCUUAAUUAAUCAGUCUUAAUUAAUCAGUCUCAUAUCUUAAGUCGAAAUUCUAAUUUCAGGGACUCCACUUCUGGAAGAACACUAACAGUCAAGAACUUAGAAAAAUAAUGAUCUGUUUAUUACAGGAUAAAUGAUGGUACAACACACAUGCAAUAAAUGAUGAUAAGAUAAUGAAGAUAAAAUAAUAAUAGGUGAAUAAAUAAAGAUUCUGAGUCAGGCUAGGAGCACUAAAGUUAAUGAUAGUGAGUGAAUAUGCGCUAACAUAUUAACCUACACUAACUUUGGUGUCGAGAUAAACUCGGAUGUGGAUUUGGAGGAAUCUAAGAUCACCAGAAAUAGGUGGAUAUCUGAGUUAUGAACGCAUGAGACAGCACCAGCCCUCUCUGGAGCUCUGGAGGUUUGCAUACUUAAGUGAGACUGGUCCUUGGAGAAGAUGGAGCAGGUUCCGAAGGUCCGGGGCUACUGGCGGUUCGAGCGGUUCAGCUCAGAAGACGACUGAAGUCAGCCGAAGGAUGAGCCAGGAGUUGCAGCACUCGGGCCCGAAGCAAAGCCAGCGCCUGUGGAUCCUGUGGAUGCUCGUUUGGGUACUUCUUUGGUCUCACUCAAAAACUCUGGCACAGAGGAUGACCUGGGCCUGCUGGGUUGCGUUCAGAGGUGACUUUGAAUCACGCAGAAAACUCAGAAAAACGAGGCUCAAAGAGCAGAGAAAACUUUCAAAAAUGGCUUCGCGAAAUUAAAGAAAAAUCAAUCAAAGGCUUAAUCUUGAAUUGCUAUGUGCACAAAAAGUUGAAGUUUCAAAACUUGAACUAAGACGAUGUUAAAGAAAAAUCAACGUGAAUCAACACGUGGCGUAAAACUUAGAAGACUAAGAAAAAGUUCUAAGAUAAAACAAAGAAACGCACCACAGAAGGGUGUGGACAGAAGAGAAGGGGCAUAAGAGCCGGGGACAAGAGAGUCAGCAGAAGAGCAGAAGCAGAAGAGAAAAAAGGAGCAUAAGAGAGUGAAGAGCAGAAGAGAGAAUAAGCGAGUGAGCAACCCCACUUCACUGGUUUUAUCUUCUCACACUGGGUGUGUCUGAGGAGAAAGAGGAGGGGUCAUCGGGUCUCUGAUUAUUUGAUCUAACUUAUUCUUUUGGCUGGUAAAAGAGUCAGAUCUGAUACUCACUCACUAUGAUUAAUAUCAUUGAAUGCUUGGUUUCAUGAUAAAUAAUUUGAUACUAAACACAUAUGAAUGAAGUGUAGGAUCACAUCAAACAUUCUCAUUAUGUUUUAAGUAUCACAUUGAACAUGCUAAAUUACUCUGAAAUGAAACAGAUAGUAACACAUAGAAACUGUGAACAACAAAAGAGUAAACACAUGUGAAUGAACGUCAUCAUGAUUAAUAAUGGAUUCUAAAUACUCACAUUCAGAUUAUUCAGUGACAUUAUAACCACCUAAUGGUUAAGAUACUAAAUAAAUAACUAAAAUAUAAACCAAACAUUUCUAAACUAUUUCUGUUACUUAGAGUAAACUUAGGAUUCAUAGUCAAUAAAUUUAACUCUUAAAAGUUCAUGAAACAGUCUGAAAAGCUGUUGGUCUAAAGAACUAAAGAAUAAGGAUUUAUUCUGUCAGAUAAGAUAACUUGGCUUCUGAAGCACAUAGAAAAACGGGAAACAUCUCAUUUUAACACAAAUUUCAUGAUUAGACAGAUUAGUACAUUGCUGAAUGCAUAAGAUGUCAUGAUCAGUCAUUUGUAUUCUUUCACCAAAGGAAUGCAGUCUUUAUCAGUGUAUGGUCGAGCAGGGUUUUACGACCGAGGUCUGGAGGUCAGUGUCCCCCCUUAUCCUGGGGUCCGUAUGUUCACACACUUUAAGACGCUUAAUCUCAAAUGGGAGAUCUGGGUUAAGGUUAAUGUUUAUUUAGAUGGUCAGCAAAUGGAGUCAGUUUGAAAGGUAAUAAAACUCUGUCUCUGUUCGCCGAACUGACCAAUCCUGAAGAGUCAGAGGUUUAGUCAACCUCCGGUUGGGUCACUUAUUUAACCUGAAAGGGCAAACACGUCUGGAAAGAUUUAUAUCCUGUUUCCUGGGACCAGAUAAGGAAACUUUCCUGUAAGGAAUGUGUGGGUUUCACAUCCAGGGUUGUCUUGAUUGCUACAGUCCCCCCUUCGUCACGGUGGUCCUGUCCAUGGAGCAUCGGGACGACGAGUAGACAACCAUGAAGCAGCAGCAGGUGUAUGCAAAUAGGACUGAUGCGUCUCGUCAUCACUAUGUGAAUCACUAGUACUGCUUUGAGAUAAAAUUAAGCAUGCAUUAAGCUAUCAAAUAAAAUAGUCUUGUUGUUAGACUUUUCUCAGUUAACUAUUGGUAGACUAAUGUGAAAGAAAAUCUCCUAAUUUUCAGUAUUAAUGAGAUUUAGGAAAGCACUAUUUAGUCUGAAUGCUAACUGGAUCUAAAGCUAUAGCUGUUUUUCAUGCUUGCUGGAGAAGUCUGAAAGUUCCAUUUCAGUUUCAAAAAUGGUUAAGACUUAGGUGGAAAAGAAAUGUCUGCUAUAGACAUAUUAACCAUCUGUGUAUGAGCAUAGUCAACCUGAAUCACAAACAUCAAAAGUUUACUGCACAGAGUUUCUCUUAAACUUUGUCUGUUAAACUUGGGGAUGAUGCUCUUAUUGGUUUGACUAAUUAUCUGCUGUUGAGUCUGAAAUUUGUCAAUCUGAGUCUUAGUGACAGAAAUUUCAGCUUUUAAUCUGUUCAUGGGAUAUUUGACAGCUGACAAGCUGACUAUAUUGACAGAGGAGAGACAAAUGCUAACAAAGAAAGCAGCAACUGGUAUUGCAGUCAUCAAUGUAUCACCACAGCAUUUGGAUAUCUUAUUGGAGUCAUUUAGCUUUGGCUGAGUGACUUCUGCUUUCGCAGGACUCACACCUUCAUGACUCCGCAGUGUUAAUCUCAGUGGUUAGCUGAGUGGUCAUGUUUAUUCACCUUCAAAGUGGAUGAAACCGAUUGAGGUGGAUAAUAAGAUCGUCGUUUCUGAGAGUGUGAUUUACUCUGAUUCUGCCAGUCAUUCACCCCACUUUGGCGGUGUUGAUGGUUUUUCCUUUGUCUGGGACAAAACCCACCGUGACGGGAGUCUGAAUAACAACAGUUGGUCUCAAAGUUUACCUGGCGUUGGUCUGUGUCAGAACUGGGCCUUGGUGUGUAACUUUGACCUUUGUGAGUGUGUUGAGGUCGAAAAGGUUUUGGAGGCCUGGUUAACCACUCAUUUGGAGGCUUAUCGGAGCCUGAAAAUACACAGUCUGAAGCUUCGUUCAGCUCCAUGGGCAGUGAUUUUGUCCCCAUAGCCAAGAGAGUAACGGGCUCUGCUUUCUUAGCCAAAGUUUGUCGUUGUUUGGCAAAACCUUUUACAGCAAGUUCACGAAGCUGUCGGCUAGUCAAAGUGUUUGGACAAGCUAAGACGCCAAGGUGAUGACUGGUGGUAGGGUGGAGGUUCUGGACGAACAGCGUUUUGAAGUUCAAGUCCUCCUCCAUUUCUGGUUCAUUUCGGAAACCAAAGUAAGCUUCGCGUAAGCGGUUGUAAUACUGUUGGGGAGAUUCUGAUCUCCCUUGUUUAAUAGACAGAGCAGCAGAGAGGCCUGUCUGGGUCAAAUAGUCAGAAAACUCUUCAAUUAAUGCUUGGCAGAGCAAGUCAUAAUUAUUUCUGACAUGAUAAGGCUGUCGUUCAAGGAAACUGCUAACCUCUCGACUUGACGUCGCCUUAAUAAGGUAGAUUUUGUCAUCAAUGGUUGCACCUGGAAAUUUCCUCAGGUAAAAGUCAAUGUCUUUCAAGUAGGUGCAGGUGUCAAUAGCACCUUGGUGCUCAGGUUCAAAGCGUGCUAUGAUGCGAGCAAUUUUGUCAAGAUCCCUGUCUGAGGGAAAUGGUAAGAAGCCAUCAUGAGGAGGAGAGUAGGACUCUUGGUUUAAGGAUGACCUCUCAGGGUCAAGCAGGGUCCUGUCAUGAUGCUGAGAGAGAUACUUAAGAGUUGGUUUGGAAGGAAGUGAUGGCGCUCUCUCAGGAGGCUGAUCACCUAUCAUUUCUUCAAGAAACGUUUGCUUCAUGCGUUCUCUUUGGGCUCGACCUGACUGGAGGGAGCAUCGUAACUCUCUUUGGGCAUCUUCAAGUUCUUUAUCUGUCUUUUCUUGCCGUUCUUGACAAAGAAUUAACUGUCUUUGAGCUAUCUGGAGCUGGUGCUGUAAGGUAGAAGUUUGCUUCUCCUUAACUUCAAGAGCUUCAGCACGCACUUUGACCAGUGCUUUCAAAGCUUUUACAUCUUCUGUUGCUUGCUCUAGUAGGGAUUCUGACUGUAUCAGAUCCUCUGUGGUCUUAGCAAGCUGCUUAUUCGUGUCAUCAAGUUCUUUCUCCUUUUUGUAAAGGUUUUCAUUAAGUCUUUCAAUCUUGUCUUUGAGAUCAAGAUUUUCUUCAUGACUUAUCAGUGAGGGAAGCUUUGACGCUUCACAUCUGGCACUGUGUUUUUCUAAAACACUUAAAGACUUCUUAGUCUCCUCUAGCGUCUUUUUCAGAGCGCUGUUCUCAUCUUUUUGCGCCUUUAUCUUUGCUAAAGCGCAUUCCAGCAAGUAGUCUUUAUACUCAAGCUGAGAAGACAUCAUGACAGACAUGCAUCUAGUGAGCUCUUUGUCACGAAGUGUCGUGGUUAAGGCUGUUUCCAGUAAGUCAGCCAUUUCAUCCUCCGGAUUGGAGGGUUUGGCCUUAUGAAUCUUAGUCAUGUACUGAGGUAUCAGCUGACUAAUUAAGUUUGCUAACACUGUGUGUAUGUCCCUCAGGGGGUCUCCCUGGCUGGACUCUUUUGUGUUAGGCAUGUUUGGUUUUGGUAAAGAGGUGCAGGUGGUUGGUUGAUGAGUUUGAGUUGACUUAAAAUGAAAGGAAGAAGCAAAGUAUCAAAUUAAGUGGGUUAAUCGACUUAAUUUAUCAGUGCUUGAUAAAGAGGAAGAGCCUAUCUGAGUAGAUCUCUAAUGGAGAGAAAAAUAACAUAAAGUUAAAUUCAUUUCAAUGAAAAUUGAAAUAAAACAAGGUGAAAUAAUGUUAAAUUAAAUUUAACAUCAGAUACAGAACCAUUGAAUAAAGGGUUCAAUUUGUCUCCGUGUUGCAGAGAUCAGCAAAGCUUAAAUAAACUGCCUGAUGCAGUUGGAUGAAUUUGAAAAAUCAAUGAAAUUGUCAAUUUAAGGAAUUAACUCUGAAAUUAAUUCACAAAUCGCAAUAAAUCCAAAGAUUCAACUACCCAAUUCAUCUGGAAUGGUAAAAUAGAUUUGAAAUAUUAAUUAAUUAGUUCAUUAAUUAAUUAAUCUUAUGAGGAGGGUUAAUACAUUCAUGUAUUAUAGGGAACAGUAAAACUGCUCAAUGGUGUGAUAAGUAACAACAAGAUCAGGUGAUUGAUUCAAGGAGUUACUUUAUCAAUACAUUAUGUAGGCUCUUAUAACAAAGAUAAAAAUCAAAAUCAAUGAUCAAUGAUUUAGAAUAAGCACAUCAAACUUCAUCAACCAAGUCAAUCACUUGAAUUAUGUCUGUAGAGUGUUACACACUGACUACAGGGAGGCAGUACAGCUGGCUGAUACUGCAGGCAGAUAACAUUGUUAGCUCAAUACCAAAAGCAACCAUGUGGGGCAGUAUGGAGUUGGGGUAACUGCACAAGCUCAACACAAGUGGAGAAGAAGAAGAGAAGAGGAAACAGUCAUCCAACUAGCCUCUUGUGGCUGUGAGGAGUUGGGAAGUGUGCAGGAAGGGGCCUUUAGGCUCUGCCUCCUUGAAGGGCCUUAUCUGCUUAAGGCCAAAGGGUCAGUCUCUCCACUGACAACAAAGGGUUAACAUUUCACAGCAGGCUGCGUCUGCACCCUCAAACAUAGAACUUUACACCAUCUGCUCAGGCAGAUUGGUUCAAUAAAAUCAUUUACAGGAACAAGAAUCGAAGUGACAAAUCCUUAAACAGCAGAUUCAACUGCAGACUUUAAAAUCACAAAUGCGGCGAUUUGUGAUCACGGAUUUUGUCUGAAUUCAUUCAAACAACAACCUCCCACUGUUACAGUGGUUUCCUGUGACAGGUAGUUAAUCUGUCAGGGGAAAGGAGGAAAUCUGAAUCCCAUAUAGUUACUAGAACUUCGUAGCCGACUAUAGAGACAAGAAUCAAAGUGACAAAUCCCUCAACAGCAGAUUCAACUGCAGACUUUAAAAUCACAAAUGCGGCGAUUUGUGAACACAAAUUUUGUCUGAAUUCAAUCAAACAACAACCUCCCACUGUUACAGUGGUUUCCUGUGACAGGUAGCUAAUCUGUCAGGGGAAAGGAGGAAAUCUGAAUCCCAUAUAGUUACUAGAACCUCGUAGCAGACUACAGAGACUUCAGGGGCUUGAAACCACAGCUCGGAGCAUCGCGAACACUGGGUUCAGCCAAAGGCCUUAAAUACAAGCGUACGGCGACGCAACAAUCGUGCACUUAAAUAUUGGACAGUCUAGACAGAGCAGAGGAGUCAGUCUCACUGCUACUCAGAACAACAUUUCACGCUGUCCAGCUCAAACACAGACUACAGGCAUGUAGUACAAAAGUGUGUGAAACACAGAGCAUAAAGGUUUUAUGCAUAGAUCAGGAAAACAUCAGAACUUAGUCAAGCAACUUCAGCAAGCAUAGCAUUGAUUGUGAUCAAGUCUAAACAGCCUGGAAAUAAGUUUCUCUCAUCAAUUUGGAAGGCUAAGUUUUAGGUUGUCUGUUAGUAUCCAGAAGUUUUGUUUGAAACGCCUCACGCAGGGGCACCAAAAUAUAUGUAGUGAUUUGAAAUGAGCCUCAUACGGUCGCACCAAAAUAUAUGUAGCGAUUUGAAAUGAGCCUCACAAGGCCGCACCAAAAUAAUACUUGGCGAUUGGAAUUUAUAAUAAAUGUCUGAAGAUUAAUAAUCUCAAAUUAUGACAUUUAUGCACUCGUUGAAAGGGGCACCACCCACCCUUAAUGGUGGGAAAAUAAAGAAAACAAAAGUUUAAUUCAGAAAUCAAACAUCAAGUCAGUUUUAAUUAAUCAGUCUUAAUUAAUCAGUCUUAAUUAAUCAGUCUCAUAUCUUAAGUCGAAAUUCUAAUUUCAGGGACUCCACUUCUGGAAGAACACUAACAGACAGGAACUUAGAAAAAUAAUGAUCUGUUUAUUACAGGAUAAAUGAUGGUACAACACACAUGCAAUAAAUGAUGAUAAGAUAAUGAAGAUAAAAUAAUAAUAGGUGAAUAAAUAAAGAUUCUGAGUCAGGCUAGGAGCACUAAAGUUAAUGAUAGUGAGUGAAUAUGCGCUAACAUAUUAACCUACACUAACUUUGGUGUCGAGAUAAACUCGGAUGUGGAUUUGGAGGAAUCUAAGAUCACCAGAAAUAGGUGGAUAUCUGAGUUAUGAACGCAUGAGACAGCACCAGCCCUCUCUGGAGCUCUGGAGGUUUGCAUACUUAAGUGAGACUGGUCCUUGGAGAAGAUGGAGCAGGUUCCGAAGGUCCGGGGCUACUGGCGGUUCGAGCGGUUCAGCUCAGAAGACGACUGAAGUCAGCCGAAGGAUGAGCCAGGAGUUGCAGCACUCGGGCCCGAAGCAAAGCCAGCGCCUGUGGAUCCUGUGGAUGCUCGUUUGGGUACUUCUUUGGUCUCACUCAAAAACUCUGGCACAGAGGAUGACCUGGGCCUGCUGGGUUGCGUUCAGAGGUGACUUUGAAUCACGCAGAAAACUCAGAAAAACGAGGCUCAAAGAGCAGAGAAAACUUUCAAAAAUGGCUUCGCGAAAUUAAAGAAAAAUCAAUCAAAGGCUUAAUCUUGAAUUGCUAUGUGCACAAAAAGUUGAAGUUUCAAAACUUGAACUAAGACGAUGUUAAAGAAAAAUCAACGUGAAUCAACACGUGGCGUAAAACUUAGAAGACUAAGAAAAAGUUCUAAGAGAAAACAAAGAAACGCACCACAGAAGGGUGUGGACAGAAGAGAAGGGGCAUAAGAGCCGGGGACAAGAGAGUCAGCAGAAGAGCAGAAGCAUAAGAGAAAAAAAGGAGCAUAAGAGAGUGAAGAGCAGAAGAGAGAAUAAGCGAGUGAGCAACCCCACUUCACUGGUUUUAUCUUCUCACACUGGGUGUGUCUGAGGAGAAAGAGGAGGGGUCAUCGGGUCUCUGAUUAUUUGAUCUAACUUAUUCUUUUGGCUGGUAAAAGAGUCAGAUCUGAUACUCACUCACUAUGAUUAAUAUCAUUGAAUGCUUGGUUUCAUGAUAAAUAAUUUGAUACUAAACACAUAUGAAUGAAGUGUAGGAUCACAUCAAACAUUCUCAUUAUGUUUUAAGUAUCACAUUGAACAUGCUAAAUUACUCUGAAAUGAAACAGAUAGUAACACAUAGAAACUGUGAACAACAAAAGAGUAAACACAUGUGAAUGAACGUCAUCAUGAUUAAUAAUGGAUUCUAAAUACUCACAUUCAGAUUAUUCAGUGACAUUAUAACCACCUAAUGGUUAAGAUACUAAAUAAAUAACUAAAAUAUAAACCAAACAUUUCUAAACUAUUUCUGUUACUUAGAGUAAACUUAGGAUUCAUAGUCAAUAAAUUUAACUCUUAAAAGUUCAUGAAACAGUCUGAAAAGCUGUUGGUCUAAAGAACUAAAGAAUAAGGAUUUAUUCUGUCAGAUAAGAUAACUUGGCUUCUGAAGCACAUAGAAAAACGGGAAACAUCUCAUUUUAACACAAAUUUCAUGAUUAGACAGAUUAGUACAUUGCUGAAUGCAUAAGAUGUCAUGAUCAGUCAUUUGUAUUCUUUCACCAAAGGAAUGCAGUCUUUAUCAGUGUAUGGUCGAGCAGGGUUUUACGACCGAGGUCUGGAGGUCAGUGUCCCCCCUUAUCCUGGGGUCCGUAUGUUCACACACUUUAAGACGCUUAAUCUCAAAUGGGAGAUCUGGGUUAAGGUUAAUGUUUAUUUAGAUGGUCAGCAAAUGGAGUCAGUUUGAAAGGUAAUAAAACUCUGUCUCUGUUCGCCGAACUGACCAAUCCUGAAGAGUCAGAGGUUUAGUCAACCUCCGGUUGGGUCACUUAUUUAACCUGAAAGGGCAAACACGUCUGGAAAGAUUUAUAUCCUGUUUCCUGGGACCAGAUAAGGAAACUUUCCUGUAAGGAAUGUGUGGGUUUCACAUCCAGGGUUGUCUUGAUUGCUACAAGGGCCAUAGAAGUUCGUGUCUGCAGGGUCAGGGUCAUGGUGUUCACGUACAAGAGUUGGUUCUAGGAGAGGAGUCAUUUUUGAUCAACGCAUCAGGAGUCAGCAGCAUGGCCUGUUGGCUACAGUCUAACAAGCACAGGCUUCUGGAGUUGAUACGAUUGGUUAACAGAAAGGGCAAGGAUGGUGCCGAAUCACUUAAAGGGGAACUUCACUAUUUUUCAGCCUGGGCCCUAUUUUGCCACGUUUUGUGUGUGUUUGACUGAUGAGGAGGACAAUUUCAGAAAUUGGUCCAGCAGCUGGAAACUACGAAUUGAGCUAAGCUGUAGUUUGACCUGGCAAUUGUCGCAUCGUCAAACUGCGUCCACUACAGGUGUGAUUAUCAGUAACAUAUGCAGUGAUCAAUAAGGUUACAGAGAAAAGUGCUUUAUUUGGACUUGUAUGCCAACAGGGCUGCCAACAUAUAUUGUCACUAAAGUUUGUGAACUGCAGUAGGCUGGUCUGAGCUAUGAAACCUCCUGGCUGACAAUCAGUCUCACUCUGACUCUGACGUGCAUCAAUCUGAACUGAAAAAAAAAAAAGUGUUGCACUUUUUCAGUCCUCUACCAGCUACACUCACAUGUAGCAUAACCUUUACACCUUUGAUUACAUUCAGUCUGUCUUUCCCUUGCAGCAAGCCUGCUGUCAUGUGGCCCAGCUUGGUAAUCAUUUACUGAGACUGAGGGAGCGGCUCAAGAAUGACAGGCUAACAUUCGUCUUCUCAGGCGCCAUCUUGUUCUGUGUGUCACCUCCCAACCGCAGCCUCUGCUGCCUCUCAUUACAUGAACCCAAGAUCACAGUCAAAUGGAGAUAUUAGAGUGGGAGGACUGUUUUGCUUCAAUGAUAAUUAACCUUGUCAACAAGGAAGAUGAGGGAGUCUGGUAUAGGGAAGUUUGUGCCUGUGAAGUUCUCUUCAUUUUGCAGUAGUGAAGAGCAAACAAGACGUUUCUUUUUCAAGUAUGACAUUGUACCAACUAGUAAAUCCAGUCAGUUUGUGCAUAUUAUUUGGUUUAGUUUCAGUUCAGAGCAAAUGUGUAGCUUCAUUUGAAUGUUUUGGGAGACACCAUGAAUUCAUUUUUAAUUCAUUUGACACAAUUAUAUACUAUAUACUUAUUUCCUAAGCUUACUUUUCUUUGCUCCAUGCUGGUAUUGCUUUAAUUAAACUAACCACAAUUCAAUAGUUAUGUCACACGCUCAAGAAAUUGACAGAGUGUAUUAGAAAUACACUGCAGCCCUCAGUCUCAGAUAGCAGAGACAGACAGAGGGACAGAGCGUCUUAAAUGUGGCUGAGGAUAAUUCAUGGGUAGUUCACUUGAAGGGCCAUGUCCCCACUGUCCCUGUCCAAUUCUACACCCUUGAGCUGCGCCAUUUAAUAUCAAUUUAGUACUCCAGUCUGCUUUAGUUUCAAAGGUAUCAAGUGAAAUUUCGUCUUUAACCUUGUGUUCUUACUGCUGGACACAAACGAGCGAGAAAAGUGGGGAAACAAUCUCCACGAAAUCUGACCUUGGUGGUUCCUCAGCAGGGCUUGGAUAACCCCUUUUUCAUUCCUUGGACUUUUGAUAUUCAACACAAACUUUUUCGCUAGUUGUCAACCUUGAAAAUACUGUUGUAUUGAGCUGUGUUUAAUGAACAGACAGUGGCUCUGUAGAGACUUCCUGAAGAUAGCAAAAGAAAGAGAGGUCCUUACUUUGUUGUAUUUUAUUUUUGAAAUCUACAAUAAAACUCUAUUGUAUCAAAUAUGGGGGAUUUUGGAUAUUUCAGUGAAGUUACUUUGGCAAGCUACUGCUUCUUUUUUUUUUGCUAAUCUAACUCAUAAAUAAAAGUUAUAUGACCUGUAUGUUUAUUAAUACUGAAACUAGGAAAUUUAUUUUGAUUAUUAUUAUUAUAUUAUUUUUUUUAUCAGAUACCCGUGCACAUGCACACACGCAUAAACAUUACGAACAUACACAGUUUUCUAAAUUCCCUAAGGCCCCACAUCAUGCAUUCAUAUAAGUUAACUUUCCUUUAACUCGCUGUACAGUUUUGAGUGGUUGUCAUGUAGAUGGGUCAUCAUGUUGGGAGUGUUUCUACCCUUCACAGAAUUUUUUUUGGCAUUUUCGGCAAACUGGUUGGCCAUCCUCAAUCAGUGUCUCUUCUGAGUCUUUGUAAAAGCGAUAACACACAAGUGCUGAAGGAAACUCAGAUGCCUAUGCUCAGUUUUCCCCUUACAGGUACUUCAGCUUUAUUUGACAUCAAGCAAUAAGUGCUUUCAGCCAAGCAUCACAGCACAUGGUCGCUGGAGAGUGCUCCUCUCUUGGGUGAAGAGUGAAAAACAGCUAGUAAUACCAGACACAGAGAGAGAGAGGGGGAUUGACGUGAAGUGAGUCAUGAUUUGUAACAAACAUACACUCCACAGGUGGACAGCAUGUGCCUCUUCAUGCUCUGCAUCAAUGGCUCUUUUACCUGCACAGUAUAUGUCCCAGCAGGGUAGCCUAGCAUCUGUACGAUAUCCCAGCAGCAGCAGCAGAGUACAUUUAUCUGUGCGCUGUAUCUGCUUUCUACUGACAAGUAAAUCAUCUCUUCGCCUGCUGUGACAGCACAAUCCUGAUGUCUGUCACUUCUACCGACCGAGCAACGGCCACACACACGCACAAUGAACACACACAGGAAGGGACAGGCAAUCUCAUUACACACACGUCCCAGCAUCCACAAACUGGCACACGCACACACACACACAAACACUUUUUGUCAGAGGGGAUCCUCGCCCACUCAAGGGCAGAGCGGUGACACCUCAUCAUGAGCCAAAUGAAGCAAGAGUGGCAAGGAGAGGAGGAGGGAGAGGAAAAGAGGAGAGAUGGAGGGAUGGAUGGAGCGGAACGGCAGAGCAAUAUGGAGAGGGAUGAGUGGCGCUAUAUGCCAGAGAGACGACCGGCGCCAGGCGGCAGAUUUCAGGGGCAUGAAAUAGGCUCUGGGAAUCGUGGAGAGGGCAGCUGGAGAGGGGAGAGGGAGAGAGUGGAAAAUUGAGAGAUUGUUUUUGCAUAUUUGAAAACUUUCUUUGAAUACCUGCAACAAUCAAAUCUGUGAAAUAAUCGAAUCAUUUCAGCAGCAGCAGCAGAUUUUGUGGUUUUGUCAUGCUCGAUUGAUUAAUAUGUGGUUUAUUUUUAACAAACUGUGCUUCACUUUAUUUCUUGUCUUUUGAAAUUAUUCUUAAUGUUCGAGUGUCUAAAUUUAAAAAAACUGACUUUAAGAGGAAUUGGAAAACAAUGAGCUCUCAUUAAGAUGCUGUCGACAGCUCGCUUCUCCUUCAAUUACAAGGAGAGCAUUCACACCUGACAAGGAAAUGUGCCUCAUUCAUGCAUAUAAAAAUUGGAUUUCUUCUUCUUCUUCUUUCUGUAAAACACAGAUGCCACUUUAAGUCCAAUUUCCCCAUUCUGUAAUAGUUACUUUAAAUACAUCACACCCUGCUUGAGCACACGCUGAGAUUGAUGCCUGUCUGAGAUUUUGAUGAUUGAAGUAAGACUGAUGUUCACUUCCACUUCUUCUUUUGCAGUUGUAAUUUUGAUGUUUCUGAAUGCAAAUGUGAUCUUUAUUCAAAUUCAAAUCCAUUUUAAAGCAUUUCUAUUUGCAUUCACGACAAACAUGUUUGAAUAAAAAAAAGGGAGACACAGUUGGAGGUAAUAUUAAAAAAAAGGAGAAAAAGAACAGCAGAAAGAGUAAAAAACGGAGUACGACUGACCUAAGACAGAAUGGGUAAGGUCUUGUCGCUACCUGUCCCUAUAACUCUGAAGCGAGAGAGUGAAGGAUAGAGAGAGAGAUGGAGUGAUGGAGAGGAGGACAGAGGUGCUGUGUCUCGCCUCAGAGAGCCACAGAUGGAGAGUGAUGAUAAUGCAGCAGGAGACAGAGGACAGAGGGAGAGGAGAGAGGGGUGAAAAGGGGGAAGAGAAGGAGGUAAUCGUGAUGUGUAAAAAGUAAGAUCAUGCAGAUAGGAAGACAGAGCUGAGUUUGGAAGUAAGACAAUAAAAGUCUGAAGUUGCUCAGCCAGACUUUAUAUUAUCACUUGUAAAACUGCCCCUAAAUGAGACAUCUGGAUAUAAUUCAGGCAGAAUUCUUGUAGGGGAAAACUAGCAAAUUCAAUCCUGAUUUCACAGGAUGGAAAAUUAAAGCAAUAACGUGUCUUGUACUUUGUUUCAUAUCAGAUUUUUCACUCUUAUAAAAACACAAUCAGCUUCCACAUUUGCCAUUUGACUGAGCAUCAGUCUGAUUAGCUUUACAUUAGCAGAUGGCAUUUAUCAGCAUCUCUCUUCAUUUUUUUUUCACAGCAAUCAGACUCUUUUUUUUUUUUUUGCUUGUUCUUGUUACGCAGGAAUGAGCUGUAACAAAUAUUGCAGGUGUGGGGCUGGGGGAUGGGAGAUGAAGGUCUGGAUUACAGCCUGAUUGGAAAUGGGCAGAGCCACGUUUUAUUGCUUUACUGAAGGAGGCAACAGAAAUAAUGAGCACAGCCACACUUUGCUCGCUGAGGAUGAGGGGAAGAAGUGAUGACUGAUGGGGACAGAUCGUGCCACAGUUCUUCAGUUAAAGGCUGAAGGGCUACAGAGUGAGGCUUCUACCCACAAGGCAGGGCUCUCACAAAUGAGAACACAGAGUGCCUGGUGCACACACACUCCUGGCUGAGAUGUAACCACCCACAGAGAUGGUCAGGCAUCACAUCUCUGCAGUUUGUUUCAUGCUGAGCUGCUGUGUUUACGCCAUGUGAUACAUUUCUUCCUCUUUUGGGUCAAAGUGACUAGAUAGAUAAUUUACCCAUGAAUGUGAUGUAAAUGGUCCCACGUUAAAUAUGGUGGAAUAGCAGAAUAAGAUUGAACAAAAAGGUAAUAUUCUAGUAAAGUACAUUGACUCCUGGUUUGCUUGGCUGACAUACAAAUGAAGGACCAAAAUGAGACACCUAACCAGCUUUUCCCCUCUAACAAAGGUCUCACCAAGCAGGUCUCUGCAGCCUUUGACUGGCUCCCUAUGGCUGCAUUUGGGUAGAAUGAAACCAACUUUGGACCCAGCUGAAAACUAUGUUUACUGGUGAAGUAGUAAGCUAAUUUCAUGUGGGCCCAACUCCAACCAAAUGAAAAACCCACUCAGAGCUAAAGACCUAUUGAGGACUAUUAGGUGAAGAGUGUGUAAACUGGAAGGCUGUGUCGGCUUGUAACUUAUUUCAGUGAGAUUUUAUAUGAACCCACCUCCUAUAAUGCAUUAUUAGCCAUAUAUAAAGCCUCUUAAGCGCAUUUAAGCUGUAUUACAAUCCGUAUGAGCGAAUAUAAUCAUUCAUGACAACCUAUAGCAAUGUUCAUAAAGUUUUAAAAGCAGUGAGCAUAAUUCCUUAUAAAGGUAUGAUUAUACCCAAAUGCAAGAGGGAAAAUUUAUUCAUGUAUCUUUGUAUACAGCCAUAAAAUUGUUAUAAAAAUAUAUGACUUAUUACCUCAUACAGUGCUGUCACUUUACUUAAAGUGCCCAAAGUCCUGCUUAAGUAUGUUGUGAGUAAUUAAUAAGACAUUUUCUGAACUAAGAAUUAUGAUUAUAACUUUUAUGACACAUGAAAAGAGAUUUAUGUGUUAUUAAAUCUAGAGUUCAAAAGAGUUUUUUUCUUAUGUGUUAGGGUAUAAUGCAUUAACCGUAUCUUUUUAAGGCUUUAUGAACAUUGCUAUAUGCUGUUAUGAAUGCUUAUAAUCGCUUUUAUAAGCUUUUUUAUUGUUUUCAAGCCCUAUAGAUGCAAGAAACUGGGCAGUCAGAACAGCUGCAACAACAUCAUCAUUGUAUAUGAUAAGGAUUUGUAGUAAGCUGUGUAUUGUUAAAACCUUUAUUUAUUCUCAAGAGAUAUUGAGGUUACCCUCAUUUUCAAUGUCAUCGAGUUUACAAGCCAUUAAAAUACUGACAGUGCUUACAGUCAUUUGGAAGUGAUUACAUGACAGUAUACAUUUACCAGGAAACAGAAAGACAGCCAUCCAAAACAGUUAUAAUUGGAAACACCACUAUUCAUGACCAAGGUCCUAAACUCUGUGAGUGACGGGAGCCUGUCCAAUCUCAGGAUGUGCUGUGACGCUUUCCAAGAGCUAGAGGCAUCAUAACAAAAAGCAGUCUCGCCAAUAUUUGUAUAGACUCGAGGAACUUUGAGUAGCAGUAAUUCAGCUGAAGGAGUCAUGUAAGUGCCUGAGUUCCAUUCUGGCAUAUUUGCUAAAUAUUGUGGUAGUUUGCCUAAAAGGAUCUUAAAAGAAAUGAAAGAAAGAAAUGUAAGGAUAUAAUUUUUGUCAGAGGCAUUACUUUAACUUGUUCAAAAAAAUUCAGCACAGAGAUGAGAAGUUCAGCUUGUCAGAGGGCACUACAAUAUAUGCAACCUCACAGGAAUAGAAUAGACUUAUACUACAAUUGGCACAGGUAACAGACAGUCCAGGUACAUUGGAAUUUUUGUGCCGCACCUAUAAUAAUAAUAAUAAUUCUAGUAAUAAUAAUAAUAAUAAUAAUAAUAAUAAUAAUAAUAAUAGCAGCCUCCAGGGCAAAGUAAGCAUUGUGUCAUGACUAAAUAAUUCGUUUCGUGCCAAAAAAUAUCAAAAUUAUGUGCUCUGCAAUAUUUCUUUUUAAAUGAACAUUUAUCCACUGAGACGAUGAUGUUCUGGACUGCACUUCAACAGACCACUAAGCCUUUUAAUCGGGGGGACUCUGCCCUGUAGAAAAGCAGCUUCCUUGACAGCUGUGGGGAUGCAUCACUGCUCCCAUUGUACUUUUGCACAGUGUAAGAGUGUCUGAUGUGUUUUUGGAGUUGGAGGAUUUUUUUUUUUCUUUCCAGCAGCACCAGUUUCAGAGUAAGGUUUGAUCCGCGUGUUGCCCCUCCAGCUUAUUACUUCUGCACAUGUUCGCUCUGAAACAGCUCUGCGCAUUGUUUGUGGCACAAAAGGGGAGAUGGCCAGGUGUUCAUUCUUGGAAUUGAAACCAGUGCCUCAUAGUAGAAUAACUUAUUCCCUUUCUUUCUGACAUGAAAGAGUUUUAUUUUGAAAUUGUGUUGUUGAUUUCCCAUGUAGAAAUCUCUUGAUCUUGCCCUUAUACCUGCUUUUGAUGCUGCACUUGUAUUUGUCUUUGUUGUGUGUGUGAGAGAGUUCGGAGCGGUGUGUGUUGGUGGAUUUGAGGGGCAUAUGCCUGCAUCUGUAUGGUUUGAUGUUGGUUGUUUGUUGGUGUUUGAGCUUUUCCCAUCCCUCCUACACAUUCCAUCCUUCCUCUGCACGCUGCAAACAAAUUUGAACUUGUAAAGACCUCAGGCAUUCUCAAAUCAAAUCUCCAACAUCAUCUUUGAGCCUGCAGCAAGGCAGCCUACCUCUGUGUCCCAAAGUCACCCUGACGUCUUUACAGAGACAGCUUCUUAACAAGGUGAGUUUUUUCCUCUCUGAAAGGCAGAUGAAAGCCACUUGGAAUAACAAGCCAACUAUCAGCAGCCAA
RNAcentral lists this long non-coding RNA (17682 nucleotides) under Xyrichtys novacula (pearly razorfish). Lineage: Eukaryota; Metazoa; Chordata; Actinopteri; Labriformes; Labridae. The record is from RNAcentral.